GACGAACGCUGGCGGCGUGCCUAAUACAUGCAAGUUGAGCGAUGAAGAUUGGUGCUUGCACCAAUUUGAAGAGCAGCGAACGGGUGAGUAACGCGUGGGGAAUCUGCCUUUGAGCGGGGGACAACAUUUGGAAACGAAUGCUAAUACCGCAUAACAACUUUAAACAUAAGUUUUAAGUUUGAAAGAUGCAAUUGCAUCACUCAAAGAUGAUCCCGCGUUGUAUUAGCUAGUUGGUGAGGUAAAGGCUCACCAAGGCGAUGAUACAUAGCCGACCUGAGAGGGUGAUCGGCCACAUUGGGACUGAGACACGGCCCAAACUCCUACGGGAGGCAGCAGUAGGGAAACUUCGGCAAUGGAGGAAAGUCUGAACGAGCAACGCCGCGGGAGUGAAGAAGGUUUUCGGAUCGUAAAACUCUGUUGGUAGAGAAGAACGUUGGUGAGAGUGGAAAGCUCAUCAAGUGACGGUAACUACCCAGAAAGGGACGGCUAACUACGUG
Molecule: ribosomal RNA, 497 nt
Filed under: uncultured bacterium
Lineage: Bacteria
Description: partial 16S ribosomal RNA
Rfam family: Bacterial small subunit ribosomal RNA
Source: RNAcentral